GAUGAACGCUGGCGGCGUGCCUAACACAUUCAAGUCGAACGGAGAUACUAGUGGAAGUUUUCGGAUGGAAGCUAAUAUCUUAGUGGCGGACGGGUGAGUAACGCGUGAGCAACCUGCCUUUGCAUUUGGGAUAACAGCCGGAAACGGCUGCUAAUACCGAAUAACGUAUACGAGUUGCAUGGCUUGUAUACCAAAGAUCCGUCGUGCAAAGAUGGGCUCGCGUCUGAUUAGAUAGUUGGUGAGGUAACGGCUCACCAAGUCAACGAUCAGUAGCCGGUCUGAGAGGAUGAACGGCCACAUUGGGACUGAGAUACGGCCCAGACUCCUACGGGAGGCAGCAGUGGGGAAUAUUGGGCAAUGGGGGAAACCCUGACCCAGCAACGCCGCGUGAAGGAAGAAGGCCUUCGGGUUGUAAACUUCUUUUAGUAGGGACGAAUACGUGACGGUACCUACAGAAAAAGCAACGGCUAACUACGUG
This 478-nucleotide ribosomal RNA is filed under the name uncultured bacterium. RNAcentral's name for it is "bacterial SSU rRNA". It matches the Rfam family "Bacterial small subunit ribosomal RNA", at positions 28 to 507 of the family's 1533-position model. The record is from RNAcentral.